GAUCUUGUAGCUCAGUUUGGUUAGAGCGCCGUACUAAUACUGACGGACGGUCAGAUAGUCUGUAGCCAGCUAAAUGCGGCGGUCCACGGUUCGAUCCCGUGCAAGAUCA
This 109-nucleotide transfer RNA is filed under the name Tremella mesenterica. RNAcentral describes it as "tRNA-Ile". Lineage: Eukaryota; Fungi; Basidiomycota; Tremellomycetes; Tremellales; Tremellaceae. The record is from RNAcentral.